AAAAACAUGGCUCCUUGUUUACAAUAUAUAGGGAGUCGGACCUGCCCAGUGAAAUUUUUUAACGGCCGCGGUACUCUGACCGUGCAAAGGUAGCAUAAUCAUUUGCCUUAUAAUUGAAGGCUAGUAUGAAUGGUUUGACAAGAAUGUAGCUGUCUCUUUAUAAUUAAAUAGAAUUUUAUUUAUAGGUGAAGAAGCCUAUAUUAAAUUAAAAGACAAGAAGACCCUAUCGAGCUUGAAAAAAACUAGUAGAGUAAGAUAGUUAAUGAUAUCAGAAAAUUUACUAUUAGAAAUUUUAGUUGGGGCGACUAAGGAACAAAAAAAGCUUCCUUUAAAAAUUAAAAACUAAACAAGUAUUGAUCCAAAACAUUUGAUUAAAGGAAUUAGUUACCGUAGGGAUAACAGCAUUAUCUUUUUUAAGAGCUCUUAUCGAAAAAAAGGUUUGUGACCUCGAUGUUGGACCAGAAUAUCCUAAAGAUGCAGCAGUCUUUAAGGGUUGGUCUGUUCGACCAUUAAAAUUCUACGUGAUCUGAGUUC
RNAcentral lists this ribosomal RNA (534 nucleotides) under Buccinum tenuissimum. RNAcentral's name for it is "partial 16S rRNA". It matches the Rfam family "Bacterial large subunit ribosomal RNA", at positions 1809 to 2612 of the family's 2925-position model. The record is from RNAcentral. Lineage: Eukaryota; Metazoa; Mollusca; Gastropoda; Neogastropoda; Buccinidae.